AUACAUAGGGGGCAAGCGUUAUCCGGAUUUACUGGGCGUAAAGGGUGCGUAGGUGGUUAUAAAAGUCUGUGGUGUAAGUGCAGUGCUCAACGCUGUGAGGCUAUGGAAACUAUAUAACUAGAGUGAGACAGAGGCAAGUGGAAUUCCAUGUGUAGCGGUAAAAUGCGUAAAUAUAUGGAGGAACACCAGUGGCGAAGGCGGCUUGCUGGGUCUAAACUGACACUGAUGCACGAAAGCGUGGGGAGCAAACAGGAUUAGAUACCCUGGUAGUCCACGCCGUAAACGAUGAGAACUAAGUGUUGGCCAUAAGGUCAGUGCUGCAGUUAACGCAUUAAGUUCUCCGCCUGAGUAGUACGUGCGCAAGCAUGAA
Molecule: ribosomal RNA, 370 nt
Filed under: uncultured bacterium
Lineage: Bacteria
Description: bacterial SSU rRNA
Rfam family: Bacterial small subunit ribosomal RNA
Source: RNAcentral